Molecule: ribosomal RNA, 429 nt
Filed under: Gemmatimonadota bacterium
Lineage: Bacteria; Pseudomonadati; Gemmatimonadota
Description: Gemmatimonadetes bacterium partial 16S ribosomal RNA
Rfam family: Bacterial small subunit ribosomal RNA
Source: RNAcentral
UAGGGAAUCUUCGGCAAUGGACGAAAGUCUGACCGAGCAACGCCGCGUGAGUGAAGAAGGUUUUCGGAUCGUAAAACUCUGUUGUUAGAGAAGAACAAGGACGUUAGUAACUGAACGUCCCCUGACGGUAUCUAACCAGAAAGCCACGGCUAACUACGUGCCAGCAGCCGCGGUAAUACGUAGGUGGCAAGCGUUGUCCGGAUUUAUUGGGCGUAAAGCGAGCGCAGGCGGUUUCUUUAGUCUGAUGUGAAAGCCCCCGGCUCAACCGGGGAGGGUCAUUGGAAACUGGGAGACUUGAGUGCAGAAGAGGAGAGUGGAAUUCCAUGUGUAGCAGUGAAAUGCGUAGAUAUAUGGAGGAACACCAGUGGCGAAGGCGGCUCUCUGGUCUGUAACUGACGCUGAGGCUCGAAAGCGUGGGGAGCAAACAGG